GAUCGCGGCGACGUGGGCGGUUCGCUGCCGGCGACGUCACGAAGUAAGUCCAUUGAACCUUUAUCAUUUAGCAGGAAGGAGAAGUCGCUAACAAGGCUUUCCGCUAGGCUGAACCUGCGGAAGGAUCAUUGUUCGAU
Molecule: ribosomal RNA, 137 nt
Filed under: Plagiosiphon sp. Wieringa 4039
Lineage: Eukaryota; Viridiplantae; Streptophyta; Magnoliopsida; Fabales; Fabaceae
Description: partial 18S ribosomal RNA
Source: RNAcentral